AUGGAGGUUACUGAUAUAUGCCCAUUAUGUGGUCUCGAGCGCGAGGACACUUUUCAUGUGUUUUGCAGGUGCCCUCGGGCGGUGCAUUUGUGGCGGACUAUGGCGGAGGUGUGGAGUAUACCGGACAUCGAGUCAGUCCGGAACACCGGCCCGGAGUGGCUCCUGAACCUAAUUGCAGAAAGCAAUGAAGGGGACCGGCUGCACCUGAUUAUGCUGCUGUGGAGAUGUUGGCAUGUGCGCAACGAGAUCACUCAUGACAAACCGGCGCCGCCUGUGGAGGUAUCUCGCCGCUUUUUGCAGAGCUACGUAAUCUCACUGCUAGGGAUCCAGCAGUAUCCGCAGGGAGAUUGGGACAAAGGGAAGAUGACCAUCCAACAAGAAGGUGCAGAGCAACCUAUAUCACAAGUGGGAGGUGUGCCAUGAAGAGCACACAAAUGGAGUCCCCCACCCGCCAACUGGACGAAGCUGAAUGUUGACGGCUCCUUUUCCCAUGAUGACGGGAGGGCCGGGACGGGAAUGGUGCUCCGUGACCAGGAAGGGGCCAUUAUUUUCUCCGCGUGUCGCUCUCUAUGGUCAUGCCCGGACCCUCUACAUGCCGAGCUGGCUGGGUGCAUGGAGGGCAUAGCUUUGGCCCUCCAAUGGACGGAGCUGCCGUUUAUCGUCGAGUGCGAUAGUCUACAGGCAGUGCAACUGAUCAAUGCCUCAGGACAAGACCGCUCACAGUACGCCAUGGUGGUCUCGGAAGUGAAGCAUCUUAUGAGUGAAAGGGAGUGUCAUGUUAUUCAUAUUUCUCGAGAGCAGAAUAAUGUAAGCCAUGCGUUGGCGAACUUUGGAAGGACGGAAGACCGUACUGUGGUCUGGCUCCGCUCCGGUCCGGACAAUAUCCCUAACUUGUGUAGGGAGGACCUUCUUGGCUCUUGA
RNAcentral lists this ribosomal RNA (921 nucleotides) under Triticum aestivum (bread wheat). RNAcentral's name for it is "partial small subunit ribosomal RNA". The record is from RNAcentral. Lineage: Eukaryota; Viridiplantae; Streptophyta; Magnoliopsida; Poales; Poaceae.